UUUCAAUUCAGAAAACUACUUCCAUGAAAUUCAUAACAGCAACUGAUAUUAUUAUUUUAUGGAUGCAUGAAUUGGAUAAGCAUUUUCUUAAAUUAAAGUAGCAGUUCCCUGAUAUGCUCAGCAAGUACUUUCAAUGUUUGACCCCCAAGAAUGACAUCACCAGAAAUUCAUACAUGAAGCAAUAGUGGGUUUGACAAAGGAGAAAGAAUCAAUUGAAUGUUCAAUUCAUUAGAUGCAAUGCUUCAGAAAAUGGUCUCGGUCAAAACUCCAAGAGUGUAGCAGCAAGUAGUACAAGUAACAAAUACUCCUCUAGAUGAGUGAAGUUAUUGAAGCUGACCAAAGAAAGCCAUCACAGUUCAUUGAACUUCAAUCAAACACCUUUUGCUACAUCCCAACAGUUUAUUUGACAUGGGGAUUCCAAAACUCUUAAAUGAGCAACUUUGAAUUUUUAACUAUUGCAAGAAUUUUAUGCACACAAAAUAAAUGUUCUAAGAAAUUGAAGCCUCAAUAUCUGAAUAAAAACUGUAAGACGUCAUUCACCUCUAUUAACAAAUGAAGAAUGUUACAUCCAGGCUCCAGCACACUGCAAGUUGUAGUCCCCAUUUUUUUUAUUUUAACACAACUUUAGAAGAAAUGACAUGUAACAGGAAAAUUUGGGGUUGGGGGUGGGGUGGGAACUGUAAACAUCUCAUAUAAUUGCUGGAUUUUCAUGCAUAAUUUUACAGAUAACUUACAUUGGGCAGUAGUUUUGACUCCAUGUUCUUAUUGAUCCCAGUAAUUCCUUAGCUGUGACAUAUGUAGGAGAAGCUCAUCUCUGCCCAAUCCAGUGACACUACUAGUCAUGAUCCAUGGUGGAUGUUCCCUGUAGUUUUGUCUGAUCAGCUCCUGGAAAUUCCUAAUGUUCUCAUCCGGCCUUGUUCUUUUUCCCCCUUUCAUUUUGUCACAUUUUGUGAAAACAAAAGUCAAAGGUAUCUGAAACAUAUGGUGUAAAGUGAAAAAAAGAAGAAGAAAACACUGGAUUUAUCUUUGUGCCACUGAACUGGCUACACAGAUUAAACAGCAAACUGAAAGGAAUUUUUGAAUUUGAGCAAAACUUACAUUAUUGCGUCCGAGCCAAUUAGCACAAUCUAGGUCAAUCUUUUGAGGGGGAACACUUGCAUCAAUAAGAAGUAGGACAGCAACUAGAGUUUCUCUGUUCAAAAAAUAUCCUUUAGUGAAUGAGGACCAAUCCGUUCGAGCAGAAUCUGGGGCUUUAGCAAACCUGCAAACAGGAUAUUUAUUAAACCCUAUAGACUACAUACACAGCGUCAUGAUUAUUAAUUUCAACUAGAUGAAGCUGGAGAAAACAAACACAAUCGUUUUAUACAAUCCAUGAGAACAUUAGUCAUUACAAACAAUUAAAUUGACAGGACUAUUAGUCAUUACAAACAAUUAAAUUGACAGGACUUGGCUUUCAUUGACUGAAGCAUCCAGUUAACACUCAAAUUCUAAGAGAAUAACAAUGACACUUAACUUCCAAAGUGCAAUUGCCAUUGGGAAUUUUGUCAGAGUGCCUAAAAGCAUUAAAACCACUGUUCAGCUUGGCAGACUAAAGCCACAAGGACAAUCAUGUUGGAAUUCGAGAAGGCUUAACCCCACUUCCUUUACCUACACGCAUUUCGCCUAAUACCUGUGGUUCAAUUCAGGCAGCAUAAUGCAAGCAAAACCCAAAUGUUCAAAUAAAUAAUAAACAAGUAAAACAAUAUAAAAGAGUUCCAUAAUUAUGUUUGAGAUGGAAAGAAAAAGUAAAAGGAGUAUGCACCCGCCGCUGAAUGAUUCUAAAAGAAACAAGAGUAAGAGGUUUUGCUAAGUCUGGACAUAAAUAGAAAGACCACUAUAUGCAAAAUAUGAACAAUUAAUUUUGCAUGAGAUUCAUCUUCAGUUUUGAAUUUAACUACAAAGUUAUAAAUAUCAGAUCAUAAUUUAGAAAUUAUUACAACAGGAGAAACAGAAUGAAAAAAUCCUGCACAUAAAUUACAAGUUUAGUGGAAAACAUAGAAGCUUUCAGUUGCACAAUCACUUAAAAAUGAAAAAUAGCUAAUUCACAUCACAAAACAAUCAAUAUAAGAUGGCAUAGACCAGAAUAAUAGAAUUGUCAAUUGAGAUGAUCGCCACAAUGGAACUACUCACAUCACAAAGAAACAUAAGCAAUGUCAACAAAUCAGGACGGAAAAAAUAAAAGCAUAUGGAGUGCUUAAUCAGAUGCAAGAGUUAUUCAUACUAAGUCUCACAUAAUCUUCCACUUAUUCUCAGCUCUGUAGAAACAUACUUAAGAUAAAUUCAAGUCUACUUCUCAAAUCUCAAUCAAGCAGACACCCCAAUUGGGCACAUUCAUUCAAAAAGCUCAGAAAAAUUUGUGCACAAACUAUUGACAUUUCAAGCAUAUGAAAUACUUCAAAAACACCAAACCAGGGAAUGAGGGAAGUAAAGGAGAGAGUUCACAAACAUACUGUAAUAUCAAUGUAUGAGUAUGACUGCUACGGUUAAAUACUACAGAUUAAUCAACCAUAGCUCAAAUAGCUAGAAAACAUCAAACACUAACUAAAGUAUCACAUGUAUAUUUAGUUUGUAAUAUGAAAGGGGGAAACUAUGUCUUGCUUACCCAUAACCAGGCAAAUCCACAAUAUACCAACUUCUAUUCACCCGGAAAUGAUUAAUCAACUGGGUCUUCCCUGGUUUUUUCGAUGUUAGAGCAAAUUCCUUCUUUCUAACCAGAACAUUAAUAAGUGAAGACUUGCCCACAUUCGACCGACCAAGAAUGGCAAACUCGGGCAGGUCAUCUCUGGGGCAAUCUCUGGCCUGACUGCUGCUCUUAACGAAUUCCACUUCCUUAAUCUGUGAAUGACCCGCAUAGGGUCCUAGAACGAUGUUGGAACCUGGCAAAACCAUAUCCUCUGUCACCUCAUCGGGGUCGACCCCUGGUGGGACGAAGAGCACGGUCCGGGCGAAUCGAGCUGCGUCAGAGGUUGACGGUUUGGCAGCCUUUGAAGCAGAGACAUGAGGUGUUGGGAUGGGGUUAGGAGAUUUGAGGGUAGAGUAAUUGAAAGAGAAGGUAGGUGGGAGAGGUUUUCUAGAAGGUAAAGGAGAAGAUGGAAGUGAUAAAAUGAUGAAUAGGCGGUUUCGAAGUAGCAUUCUGCUCGAGUGUGUCAAUGGCAGAGCUCAAUCUCGCAAGCAGUCGCAGUUUUUUUACCCUGCUCGGACG
This 3241-nucleotide unclassified non-coding RNA is filed under the name Hevea brasiliensis (rubber tree). Lineage: Eukaryota; Viridiplantae; Streptophyta; Magnoliopsida; Malpighiales; Euphorbiaceae. The record is from RNAcentral.